AGCACAUCUAUGGAGUUUGUGGAGUUAUGGGUGUGAAACAGCACUAGAGAAGCAGCAGAGAGGCGUGUAAGCCUGCAGCUCUGCCUCCUGGGCUGAACUCUGGGUUAUCAUGGUUUUAGGGUGUUAAUAAAAUUGGCCAAAUUCCUAGAGAUAAGAGAAGCAGCCGCCAAGGUGGGGUGAACUCCAUCUCGUCUAAUCAGACCAGACUUUCCCCAGAAAGAGUUCCAAUUAUCUACGUAGGCCACGUCGUUGGCUGGACACCACCUAGAUAACCAGCGGUGGAAUGACGACAUGCGACUAUACACUUCAUCACUGGUCAGAUUGGUAAUGAGAGCUUACAUUCAAAAGGAACAAGUGCAUUGGGAAGAGAGGUGCAAUAAGAGGGGAAAUCAUUUGAAGAAUGGAACCAAUAAAAGAGAAAAUGUGUGAGGUCAAAGGUUCAGAAUGGAGCUCUGUUGUUUUUUUUUUUUUUUUAAACAAGGUAAAGCUGCACAGAUCAGCAGGCUGGGAGGCAAGAGUGUUCAGGUCACAAAGAUGAGGGUAAGAUGAGCGGCAGUAACAGGAGCAGAACAGGUCAAGGAAACUAUAAAAGGAGCUAAAGUAAAAGAUGCAAAGAAUUGGCUGUUUACCACUUUCUGUGCAACCUUUGAUACUGUAGGUAGGACGCUGAUAGGCCUGUAGCUGCAGGUAGAACAGUGAUCUCCACAUUUAAAUACUGGAAUAACAACAGCUGACUUCCAAACACUUGGAAACAUUCCAUGAGAAAUGGAGAGGUUAAAUAUUUUGGUAAUAAGAUUAGUUAGUGUUGAGCUCUUUGAGCAUAACUGCGUCUGUAUCAAAUAUAUCUAAAUGGCUGAAUCUAGUCAUUACGGAAACCUCUGACUAUGUGACGUUCUUUAGACUGAGGCCCGGAUCCAUUGGAUUAACUGAAUAAACUGGUGUGUUCUCAGGUAAACAACAUUACCACCUUGUUCCUCUGGAGUUUGUAUUGUUAUUGACGCUAUAUAUUGUAGAUAAAAUAAAACUGAAUUGAAUUGUUACUUAAACAAAAGUGUUGACUCAGUUUAGUUUUUAUUGUAUUUUUAAGACAAUAUCCAGUUCUUUCAUUAGUUAAUUUCAUGACCCGAGGGACAGUGGUUUUGUAGUUUUUACACUUACAUUUGCAGUUAAAGUAUUUAAUAAUGUUCUCUAGUUUUUUUGAGAAUAUUAGACUCUUCGUGUGUCCAACAAUAGAUAACAACAAAUCAGUCUGAUGAACAGCACUUUUAAAGUUCUCCUGUUUGUUUUGUUUGUUCUCUGACAUUAGGGAUAAACUGCUUCGUGCCUAGUUUUCUGGCUGACUGUGUUAAACUGUGGUGACAGAAACCAGUUACCAUAUUACAGGAUUUCAAAAUUCUUUGAGGUCUGUUAGUAAAAAUCAAAUCAGUCUGAGUCCUGGUGGAAUUUAUUUUUCUUGAGGCCCCACUGAACAGUUGCAUGAGGUCAAAGUUAUCGGUUCUUUGAGAUUUUUUCUGGAGGAUUUAUCCUCCCAAUUCAUGUUAAAAUCUUCCAAAAUAAUAACUUAUUUUUUCAAAUGACAUCCUUUUAAUAGUUUCUAGAACUUAACCAAUAUUGUAACAGGGAGGACAGUAAAUUUCAAUAAGAAUAAAGGUGACUAAAGGAUAUUUAGACCAAUACAUUCCACUUCCUUACAGGUUGACCAAUGGAUUUCGUUACACUGGACACUAUUGUUCAUAUGAAUCCUCCUCCCUUUGAGCCCACUCUAUCUCUUCUGUAAAUGCAGUACUCAGACUAUUCCAAUACGUUGGGAGAAAACAGCAGAUGCAGUCACGUAAAACAGUCACGUAUUGUACCCGUCCUUAAGCCAGGAACAGAUGGACAGAUAGCCCUUACAUCACAUUAAAAAACAAUGGAGCGUGUUGUAACAGGGAAGUGUUUCUAUCCGGUGCUGUUCAAUAUAAUGAUUAAUGAAUCUUUGGUAGAGUUCAGAAAGGAACAGUGUGACGUCUGCUGCUGUAGGACCUGUUUUGCGUUUCUCCCUUGUCUUUGUGCUGGUUUGUUUUCCUGCAGGUUCCUUAGUGGCCAGGUCUUAAUUUGGGCUUCAGCUUCAGCCUAUUAUUUUACACGAACAUGCACCAUCCACAGACACACUGAUACUCACACUCACACCUCAUUUGUUAAUGUUUAGUUGCUGUUGGCAUUGUUUAAAUAAAUUUGGUUGCCUUUGCUGAUGACCUGCAUCUCCACGUCUUUUUUUUGUCACAGCUUACAAACCAGGUCACAACAACACUACACUUUCACCUUCACAAUAAAAGCCUCCCUCCAUGUUGUGUGUUGUUAUGUGUUAGUUAAGUCCAGUCACAGUUGGAACAAAGACGACCUAAAGUUCUUUCCAGUCAGAGCAGAUAAAACAUCUGCCUCCAGUAACACAGACAAACACAGUAGAAAUCAGUUUAAGAUGGACAGAAGUAAACCCACUAAUGACCCACUAAAACCAAGAGAAACACUUUAAAUGAGAUUGAACCAGUGGAUAGUGGAGCAGGACUUAAUGUGGGAAGGAGAGAAAAAGUCUGGAGAAAAGCCUGGUCACCUUUAGAUCUGAGAGAGGACUGAGAGGAGUUGUUGUGAGGAUGGAAUCAGGAUGUUUCUCAUCCUUAUCCACAUAGCAGUGAUACUGGAUGUUUUUAUUGUUAUUUGUUGGAGAUUGAACCACUGGGAAUCAUAUAUAGGGAGAAAAAGAAGAGGCCCUAAAAUUGGUCCUUGAGGGACACCACAUUUGAGCACAAGGUGAAGAGUUGCUGCCUUUUUAUUUACUGAGAAGGUUCCGUGUCUCAAAUUGGAUAAUGAUCUAUCCAGGACAACAUGGACCUCUAAGUCUAAGGAUGUCGUUGUGUACUUUCAGCAGAAUCAGAAUCAGAAUUACUUUAUUGAUCCCAGGAGGAAAUUACUUUUCGUUACAGCAGCUCCAACCCAAAGUGUAACAGUGUUACAAAGAGCAAUUAGAAUAAGUAGGAGACAAUAAGGAUGCCCUGUGGGUCAUCAUGGUUUGAUCAGUCUGGUACUGAAAGAACUCCUGUGUGUGGCCAACACGUCAUGGAGUGGGUUAAACUCAUUGUCCAGGAUGACUUUCACCUUGUGAAGCGUUCUCCUGUCUGACACCACUGUCAGAGAGUCCGGCUUCACUCCCACUACGUCACUGGCCUCACGUAUCAGUCUGUUCAGUCUGUUGGCGUCCGCUACCCUCAGCCUGCUGCCCCAGCACACAACAGCAUAGAAGAUGGCACUGGCCACCACAGACUCAUAGAACAUCCUGAGCAUAGUCCUGCAGAUGUUAAAAGACCUCAUAGAAGACACCAAUCGCCUCAGAACAUAGAGACGACUCUCAGGGCGUCUGUGUUCUUUCCCCAGUCCAGUCUAUUAUCAAUGUGACCCCCAGAUACUUAUAAUCCUCCACUAUGUCCACAUUGACCCCCUGGAUGGAAACAUGGGUCACCGGCACCUUGGUCCUCCUCAGGUCCACCACCAGCUCCUCCGUCUUUGUCACAUUGAGCUGUAGAUGUUUCUCCUCACACCAUGUGACAAAGUUGUCCACACCAGCCCUGUACUCCACCUCAUCACCCUCUGAUCCAACCACUGCAGAGUCAUCAGAAAACCUCUGCAGAUGACAGGUCUCUGUGCAGUGGUUGAAGUCUGAGAGGAUUCAUGGCUACGGAGUGAUCUAAAACCUGACUAGAUACUAUCAGAAAUAUCAAAUCUUCAAGGAAAACUUCCUUGGUCACAUAGUUUAUGAUAAAUGUGAUUUAGGCGUGGACUAUGGAGUCUGAUGGAGGGAUGGAGUCUAAACUGUGCUUUCCUCUGAUUGGAUGGCAGUUUCUUUAUAAGGAGGUCACCUGGUUCUCAGAGGAGGAGACAGAGCUGCAGGACUGGACUUCGUACAGGAGCUGAAGAACUGACUCAACAUCAACAUCAUCAACAAUUAUCAACUGUGUUGCAGCACGACUGAACCAUGGGAAACACCUUUACCCUGUUCAACGAGACGCCCAACACAGUUUUGGCGCUGCCUCCGUGGGGACCAUGUGCCCGGUGACUCCACGCCAGCUGCUGAGUCCACCCGACUGGCCGUGUCCUCACCCAAAAUGUGCCGGAAUCACAAGACGAAAUUAUUGUCUGGGUCAAAUAAUAACCGUCCUUGGAGAUAUUAGCA
Molecule: long non-coding RNA, 4204 nt
Organism: Mugil cephalus (flathead mullet)
Lineage: Eukaryota; Metazoa; Chordata; Actinopteri; Mugiliformes; Mugilidae
Exons: 4
Source: RefSeq, a predicted model, not a curated record